RNAcentral lists this ribosomal RNA (550 nucleotides) under bacterium BaP1-23. RNAcentral describes it as "bacterial SSU rRNA". It matches the Rfam family "Bacterial small subunit ribosomal RNA", at positions 80 to 616 of the family's 1533-position model. The record is from RNAcentral.
GCUUCUAUGACGUUAGCGGCGGACGGGUGAGUAACACGUGGGCAACCUGCCUGUAAGACUGGGAUAACUUCGGGAAACCGAAGCUAAUACCGGAUAGGAUCUUCUCCUUCAUGGGAGAUGAUUGAAAGAUGGUUUCGGCUAUCACUUACAGAUGGGCCCGCGGUGCAUUAGCUAGUUGGUGAGGUAACGGCUCACCAAGGCAACGAUGCAUAGCCGACCUGAGAGGGUGAUCGGCCACACUGGGACUGAGACACGGCCCAGACUCCUACGGGAGGCAGCAGUAGGGAAUCUUCCGCAAUGGACGAAAGUCUGACGGAGCAACGCCGCGUGAGUGAUGAAGGCUUUCGGGUCGUAAAACUCUGUUGUUAGGGAAGAACAAGUACAAGAGUAACUGCUUGUACCUUGACGGUACCUAACCAGAAAGCCACGGCUAACUACGUGCCAGCAGCCGCGGUAAUACGUAGGUGGCAAGCGUUAUCCGGAAUUAUUGGGCGUAAAGCGCGCGCAGGCGGUUUCUUAAGUCUGAUGUGAAAGCCCACGGCUCAACCGU